RNAcentral lists this ribosomal RNA (330 nucleotides) under uncultured Candidatus Sumerlaeota bacterium. RNAcentral describes it as "bacterial SSU rRNA". It matches the Rfam family "Bacterial small subunit ribosomal RNA", at positions 29 to 351 of the family's 1533-position model. The record is from RNAcentral. Lineage: Bacteria; Candidatus Sumerlaeota.
AACGAACGCUGGCGGCAGGCUUCAUACAUGCAAGUCGCGCGAUUAAGACCCGCAAGGGUGUAUAGAGCGGCGAACGGGUGAGUAACAGGUGGAUAAUCUGCCCCUUGGCGGGGGACAACAGCUGGAAACGGCUGCUAAUACCGCAUGUGGUUGCCGGGCUCUCGGGCCUGGCAAAGAAAGGCGCUUCACGGCGCCGCCAAGGGAUGAGUCCGCCCCCCAUUAGCUAGUUGGCGGGAUAAUAGCCCACCAAGGCUUCGAUGGGUAGCCGAGCUGAGAGGUUGAUCGGCCACACUGGAACUGAGACACGGUCCAGACACCUACGGGUGGCAG